GUGCCAGCAGCCGCGGUAAUACAGAAAUCCCAAGCGUUGUUCGGAUUCACUGGGCGUAAAGGGUGCGUAGGUGGUGAGGUAAGUCGGAUGUGAAAGCUCGGAGCUCAACUCCGAAAUGGCAUUGGAAACUACCCUGCUAGAGGAUUGGAGGGGGGACUGGAAUGCUUGGUGUAGCAGUGAAAUGCGUAGAUAUCAAGCGGAACACCAAUGGCGAAGGCGAGUCCCUGGACAAUUCCUGACACUGAGGCACGAAAGCUAGGAGAGCAAACAGGAUUAGAAACCCUCGUAGUCC
This 292-nucleotide ribosomal RNA is filed under the name uncultured bacterium. RNAcentral describes it as "partial 16S ribosomal RNA". It matches the Rfam family "Bacterial small subunit ribosomal RNA", at positions 505 to 796 of the family's 1533-position model. The record is from RNAcentral.